Mya arenaria is the source of this 1306-nucleotide long non-coding RNA. RefSeq lists it as uncharacterized. The transcript is spliced from 5 exons. The record is from RefSeq and is a predicted model, not a curated record. NCBI's taxonomy places the organism in Eukaryota, Metazoa, Mollusca, Bivalvia, Myida, Myidae.
AAGUUAAGUCAGCAACCUUCUACCAGACUGCAAGAUUCAUCUCUUCCAAAGGAUGUCGUACCUUUCCAGAUACACUGUGUUGUGUGUGGAUAAGAAAUGCAGAGUGGUACCACCAAUCACCUAAGCCACCAUUCCCCUAACAGACAAAAGGCUCAUGGGGACAGUUCCUGCAGUUUACAGCAAAGCUCUCAAUUGUAGCCCUACAAACUUCAGGUAAGUGAUAAAUCUGGGCUUCAAGAUAUCUCUGUACUCACUUUAAGUUUAUACUUCAUUUGAACAAAACUUACAAUUUCAGCAUCAAAAUCCAGGUUUAGAUCCCAGACCGAACUUUGUCUCCUUCAUUAAACUUCAUUUCAGAUGAUCUAUAAGCCACAUACAUGUUCACUACUUAUGGCGGAUAAGAACUUUCGCAAAUUGAUUAUAAAUGCGUUUUCCCAGAUAUACACCCUCCUCUUGCAGACACUGCCGAUGGUGAAGCUUGGGUGCACUGGGCCGGUUAUCCAGCCGUGUGGAAUCAACAUCUCCAGCUGAACUGGGGCCGGGAAUUAUAUAAGAAUCCUUAGCAGCAUGAGUGCCAGCCAGUCAUUGCUGUUCUUUGCAGUGCUGAGGAGGACAGUCCUGCCAACAUAACAGUUUGUUCAAUAACAGGAGACAAACAGAAACACAGAGGUGCUAUACAUUCCGAUGGAAAAGACAACAAAAGCAUCUCCCAUCAUUUUGGCGUGGCUCAGAUCAAGAGGAGAAUUUUAAGAAAGGUGAUGGUUGGGCACACACAAGAAGACAUAGAUCACAGGUGUCCAGGCAUAUGAGUAGACUGGAGUUUCACACUCUGCCAAACUUACUUCAUCAGAGGAUCAGAAAGCUUCUCAAGAUCCCGCACUGCACACUUAGAUAUAGUCUUUGACUACAACAAGGGGAUGAAAGUACAGAGAGGUCCAAUUGAAAUCAAUUCUGUGCUGCGUCAUUUCUUCUUCUGGAAGUCGAUGGACAUGAUUUAUCAUGGCAUCAAGUGUGCAGUUUGUCGACUAUCAGCAGUCUUGUUCACCAGCUGUGCAACUUGAGCUGGUAGCUUUAUUGCUUGAAGCCACUGCAUAAGAGGGGGAAGGUGCAGGCUCAUCAAAGUCUCAAAAGUUGAAACUAGGAAAAGAAUUUUGUCAAGAGUGUGAAUCUAUUUGCUUUGAAAACAAUCGUUACAAUGAUUUGGUUUCCUUUGAAACUUGAUACAUACUAUGUGUAUGUUGAAUGAAUUGAGAUGCUUAAAUAAAGAACCGCUAUUCAAAUAUCAGGAAACUGCAUUUUUCAUACU